GGCCAGUCAAGGAGCCUUGCUGCUUGUGGCCAGCCUACCCCGGUUGCAGGAUUCUCAAGUCAGGCCUUAGCAGCAGCACCAGGGACCACUUGUCCUGAGCAUCUGCCCUUCAAAGUUCCCAAAAGAGGCCCUGCUGCUCUGCAGCACUUGACAGUUGGAACCAGAAAUCAACAAGCCACUGGGCUCCAUGCAGUAAGCUCAUAGGAAACAUCCUGACCAGGCCCACCUGUGAAUGUCAGCAGGGAGAAGAAAUUAACACAUCCCCUCUGGAGGCUGAUGGGAACCAGAAAGUGUCUGACUUUACUCCCUCUCCUUUUGGUAUAAGAGAAGGCUGAAUUCUGAUUCUGGCAAGGUGGUUUUUUGGGCCUAAGUCUACUAUCUUCUCAGUUUGGUAGCUUUCUGAAUAAAGUAGCUAUUUCUUGCCUCAACAA
Long non-coding RNA from Bubalus bubalis (water buffalo), 431 nucleotides. RefSeq lists it as uncharacterized. The transcript is spliced from 2 exons. The record is from RefSeq and is a predicted model, not a curated record. Lineage: Eukaryota; Metazoa; Chordata; Mammalia; Artiodactyla; Bovidae.